UCCGUCAUCAAUUAGGAUCAACAUAUCAAGGAUAGACUACCUGGGGAAACAUAAAAUGAAUCUGCUGGGAAAAACAAGAGGAAGUAAAUUACUGUUAUCGGGUAGUGGGUAAGAAUAAGGUACUCGCAAAUCGAGAAAAAUAUUACAAGUUAUUGGGUGACAAAAUCUCGAGGGACAAAAGCAUAUAUCUAGGUACGAUCUAGAAAG
RNAcentral lists this long non-coding RNA (207 nucleotides) under Lathyrus oleraceus (garden pea). RNAcentral describes it as "Pisum sativum (pea) long non-coding RNA (PSAT_LNC026234)". Lineage: Eukaryota; Viridiplantae; Streptophyta; Magnoliopsida; Fabales; Fabaceae. The record is from RNAcentral.